This 77-nucleotide transfer RNA is filed under the name Oligoflexia bacterium. Its description in RNAcentral is "tRNA-Arg". It matches the Rfam family "tRNA". From Rfam's summary of the family: Transfer RNA (tRNA) molecules are approximately 80 nucleotides in length. Their secondary structure includes four short double-helical elements and three loops (D, anti-codon, and T loops). Further hydrogen bonds mediate the characteristic L-shaped molecular structure. tRNAs have two regions of fundamental functional importance: the anti-codon, which is responsible for specific mRNA codon recognition, and the 3' end, to which the tRNAs corresponding amino acid is attached (by aminoacyl-tRNA synthetases). tRNAs cope with the degeneracy of the genetic code in two manners: having more than one tRNA (with a specific anti-codon) for a particular amino acid; and 'wobble' base-pairing, i.e. permitting non-standard base-pairing at the 3rd anti-codon position. Lineage: Bacteria; Pseudomonadati; Bdellovibrionota; Oligoflexia. The record is from RNAcentral.
GCAGACGUAGCUCAGUUGGAUAGAGCAUCUGACUACGAAUCAGAAGGUCACAGGUUCGAAUCCUGUCGUUUGCGCCA